This is a long non-coding RNA of Neopsephotus bourkii (Bourke's parrot), 2212 nucleotides long. RefSeq lists it as uncharacterized. The transcript has 3 exons. NCBI's taxonomy places the organism in Eukaryota, Metazoa, Chordata, Aves, Psittaciformes, Psittacidae. The record is from RefSeq and is a predicted model, not a curated record.
GUCCUCCCAGCAGGUAGGAGCUUCCAACAGCCUGCACUGAUCCGGGGAUUGCCAGAGGGGGCUCCUGGGCUCCUCAACGCCCUGGGACAGCAGCGAGGCUUCCAUGGCAAAGAAGCUUUGGGAAUUGCUUUGGAUCCUCCCCUGGGGACCGGCGGAUGCCCCGGGAAGCGCUGCGGCAGGAAGGCAGCAGCGUGGUCCCGCUCCAGAAAGGAGGCAGAGGAGGAAUCCCGUCCCUGCCUGGCAUGGUUUAACCUCCCGGGAUUAAUUAAAGGCUUUCUCAGUUUUUCUUUCAAACCUCACAACAUCCAUCCCUGCCUCGCUGAAUAGGGAAAGGCAGAGGCAUCUUCUCUGGUGAAUCACCGGCCUGGUCCAAUGCUCAGUUUUACAUUGCAGUAAUAGCUUUUUCCUAAGGGAAUACCGCAGGAAGGGUAGACUUUGGCUUCUCACCACUGGAGCAUUACAUCAUUAACACGAGCUGGAAAUCCAAGCGUUGGGAGAACCAAAUGUUCCCUAAAUCCAGCAAUCCCCCUUCCCCUGGUGCUUCUGUCCCCUCUUCCCUGCCCAUGGGUAAGGCAGGUGAUGGUGUUGGCAGAGCCAGUGUGGGGCAGGGGACCAUAUGCAUGGUGAUGCUACAGGAGCAGGGAUGUGUCCUGCAUCCUCUGAGCUGCUGGCAGUGCAAGGACUGGAGACUAAUGGAGCUCUGGGACAGCAAAAUCCUUCCUUCUACAACUCAGGUUUGUGGUGAUGGGUGCAAUGGCAGGGAAGGAGCCACAUGUCUCAGUGCUCUCUUGAAGCACACAGGGUCUUUCAUAUGGUUUCCUAAUACCAGAGAAAGAUGGGACCAGAGUCCCUGGUUCUUGAGCAUCCUGAAGAAGCACCACAGCUCCUGGCUCAGCAAGCCAUGAGUACGUGCAUGGUCCCUAUUUACUGGCCCUGCAGACCCUCUGGCUAUGCCCUGGCUGAGCAGCGUUUGUUUCCUGACCCCAUUACCUAUUCCUGUUUGCAUUUCAGCUGCUUAGGCUUGAUUCUUUUAAACCCCGUCUAUCUGAUUAUGAGCAGCCCAGCCAGGCGGAUAGGAAGCUUCCUGCGGGAUCCCCGGCAGCGCUGCAGGAGGAUGGUUUGCCUCAUUUAUGCUCCUGGAGGUGGCUGAUCCACAAAGGGGCAGCGGAGAAGUUAUGGGGGCAGUUCAAGACUCCCCUGUGGUGCAGGCUCGUAAGUCUGGGAUGCUUUGCUGGGUGAUGCUUUUCCUUGCUCCCAAGGGCACGCAGGGAGAUGCAAACUCUGUCCCCAGGAGGCGUUGGUGACAGGCACCACAUGGAAACCUGCAUCUGCACCGCAGGAUGCCUCCGGGAGCAGAGAGGAGCGUGGUGGCUGUUGCUGUUGCUGACCAGCGCAGGGACACGGUGGCAUGGCAGGGUGCAGCAGAUGGGUACCGAAACCCUGUGCAACCCUCCCAGAGCUGCCCUGCUCUUGCUUUUCGGUUUCCUAUUGUUAUCCUAAUGCCGUCCUCCUCCUCCUCCCCCCAGCUGGAUGAAGAAGCCUCCAGCUGGCCUAGGAGGCUUAUCAGCUCUGUCUGGCUGGGUGUUAACAGUCGAUUUGCAUAAGUACCUGUCCCCAUCAUAUGCUGCCUGCCUUUGUGACUCAUGUGCUUGUUUGUUUCUCCUUCAGCAGCCAGGCUUGUGCUGUGCUGCUCCCAGAGGUACCAGGGCAGAUGCCACCACCCCGGGCACUGGGGGAUGGAUGCUGAGCAUCCUCCCUGGCUCACCCACUGCUCCUGCCCUGCAGGACUAGCUUGGGAAUGAACUGUGAAACUGGCUGUUUUCUCCUAGUUGUCAAGGUCCUUCUGAGUCAUCAUCACCCAUCCCACAUCCCUCUCUGCUCACUGCAUCCGGGGUAAGUUUGCCACUUGGGAACACUGCUCAGGAGAUGGAGUGUCUGUGGCAACCCCCCUAUGGUUAAAACCAACCCUGUUUGCAAAAAUAAGCACCGGUGAAUGAAGAUGAAAGGAAAACGUUGCUGUUUUCUUCCCUGGAGAUUGUAUUCCUCACUUGUUGCAUAACUGCUUAUUUUAGCAUCAAUCAGCUGAGCCUUUGUUGUGUAGACAACUCUGUCCUUUUGGAGGAUUUGUGCAGUGUUGUUUCCUUUAAGAUGCCUGGGUUUUGGUUGUUUUUAUUAUUAGAUUUAUUUCUUUCCUUGGCAAAUGCCAGCUGAC